UGUUGGUUGUCCACCUGACUCCUGCCUUCACCGCGGGAUCCCUUGUGCUCUUUUGGCCUCUUGCUCACUGCAUGCAUCCAGUGACAUUCCGGAUUGCUGUCGGCUGCUGAACAUGGGCCUCAUAGCCGACCUCAGCUGAUUGCAGAGCUUGCGGUAAAACAAGGACCGGCAACAUCAAGGCAUCUUGGUUCAAGUUCCGAACGCUGUUUUGUUUUGUUUUGCUUUCACCUAAGUUGUGAUGGUCGAUUUUACAUGUUUUAUUUGUUGUAUGUUUGUAUACAUUUUAACUUUCACACGGGAGAAGAACAGUAUACCGACGGACGCUCUCGUCUAGUCCUUGUAUAAACCAUGAUGUUCACCACAGCUGAUUGCAUAUACUGUGCAGUGUGUGUGUGUUCAGAGUAUUGGCUACUCUGAUUUUCCUCUCUUGUCGGACAGGAGCUGCAGGCCAACGGGGGUGGCGGGCUAUCGAGGUGGUGGUGUCCCUUCACUUUUCUUGCUGUGGUGCAUUUUGAGAAUUCGAUAUUGACAUGUUCACGUGUGGUGUGUCUGUAGACCCUCCCUCGGAUAAACUCUCCAGCCCUGGGUAAGCUCCAGCCCUGUUCCUGGCUCCUCUCAUCCCUCAGCCAGUAGUCUGAGCACAUCCUGGUGUAUGUGUGACUGUUUGUGUGUGUGUCCAGGCCUUGUAGGCCACUUGUGUCAGUGCCUUUGUGACCAAGGUUCUAACUGUCUGGAGAGAACCCACUCCCCCAUAUGUUUUUUUUAAGAUUUGUUA
Molecule: long non-coding RNA, 775 nt
Organism: Alosa alosa (allis shad)
Lineage: Eukaryota; Metazoa; Chordata; Actinopteri; Clupeiformes; Clupeidae
Exons: 3
Source: RefSeq, a predicted model, not a curated record